This 2506-nucleotide unclassified non-coding RNA is filed under the name Hevea brasiliensis (rubber tree). Lineage: Eukaryota; Viridiplantae; Streptophyta; Magnoliopsida; Malpighiales; Euphorbiaceae. The record is from RNAcentral.
AAAUUAUGCACUUUUUUUGUAAAGAAAAGCAGAAAGCAGAGAAAAAGGAGCUUUUGCAGCGUACACGCAUCAACCAGUGUAGAGGAGCUCAAGAAAAAUAUACAUUUAUGGAGACACGCAGAGAGGAGAGAAACAGAAGGUGAAGAAGCCUUUGGAUCCUCUUCUCUUCUCUUCUCUUCUAUCAAGUUGAGAUUGAUUUGACCAAGUUAAAAAAUUUGACGGAGAAUCAAUGCUGACUGUCUGAUCACAUUGUCUGAUCAGUAUUUUGAUUUUAUUUGAAUUUUUUUUUCAUCUAAAUUAUCGCCGUCAAUGGGAGCCCGCUGCUCCAAAUUCUCCCUCUGUUGGUUCCACUCUCAUCUCAAGUCUUCCGUCCUCGAAUCCACCGAUCUCGAAAGUGGAGGCAAAAAUGACCGAAAUGUAUGGCCGAGUUUCACCGAGUUCAGCUUUGAGCAACUAAAAGUUGCCACGAGUGGUUUCUCUUCGGAUAAUAUUGUGUCGGAGCACGGUGAAAAAGCACCCAACGUCGUUUACAAAGGGAAGCUCGACAAUGACCGAUGGAUUGCUGUUAAGCGAUUUAACAGACUGGCAUGGCCUGAUUCUCGCCAAUUCCUUGAGGAAGCCAGAUCAGUGGGGAGUUUGAGGAGCGAGCGAUUGGCGAAUUUGAUUGGAUGUUGCUGUGAAGGCGAUGAGAGAUUGCUUGUUGCCGAGUUCAUGCCCCAUGAAACGCUUGCAAGGCAUCUGUUUCACUGGGAGAACCAACCUAUGAAAUGGGCAAUGAGGCUGAGGGUAGCUCUUUAUUUGGCGCAAGCCCUGGAAUACUGUAGCAGCAAGGGAAGGGCAUUGUAUCAUGAUCUUAAUGCCUACAGAGUCCUAUUUGAUCAGGAUGGUAAUCCCAGGCUAUCUUGCUUUGGACUAAUGAAGAAUAGCCGAGAUGGAAAAAGUUAUAGCACGAAUUUGGCUUUCACCCCUCCGGAGUACUUGAGAACCGGUAGAGUGACCCCAGAGAGUGUAGUGUACAGCUUUGGAACACUCUUGUUAGAUCUUCUGAGCGGCAAGCAUAUUCCUCCAAGCCAUGCACUUGACCUGAUUCGUGGCAAGAAUUUCCUUAUGUUAAUGGAUUCUGCAUUGGAGGGUCAUUUUUCGAAAGAUGAUGGAACUGAAUUAGUGCGAUUAGCUUCCCGCUGUUUACAAUAUGAAGCUCGUGAGAGGCCAAAUGCAAAGUCGCUUGUUACUUCACUUUUGUCACUUCAGAAAGAAGCAGAGGUAGAUAGAAUAAUAGUGUUAUUGAAUUAACUUUCUAAAGUUGGAAAUGCUUUUUAAGUCGGAUGUUUUGGCUACCCAUUUUUACAAAUGGCAGACUUCCUUUUUGUAAUAUUUGGUCUGCUUCAGCUGAGCUAAAAUAGUUUCUGUAGAAAAAGAGAGAGGCUAUAAUUUCUCAUUAAAUGAAGUUUUAUCAGGUUCCAUCUUACGUAUUGAUGGGUAUCCCACAUGAGGCUGCACCGUCAACUCAGCAAUUGUCAUUAACUCCUUUUGGUGAGGCAUGCUUGAGAAUGGAUCUUACAGCUAUACAUGAAAUCCUGGAGAAGAUUGGAUACAAGGAUGAUGAAGGGAUUGCCAAUGAGGUUUGACCUAAUGACUUAUUUCAUCUGUGUGAAAAAUGUGGACAUAUACCUGAUUUGAUAAAACUGAAAAUUAGUUUAAAACAAAGUCUUGUCGUGCUUUAAUUCAAUCUAGGAAAUAGCACCGGCAGCUGGUAUAUUUGGAUGAAUUGAACUUUCCUAAACCAAGGCAAAAUGGCUCGAAUGAAACAAGGUAGCAUAAGGCUAGACUGAUGCAGCACCUGGCUCUAUUUAGGCAAACAAAAUGCUUGAGUGCAUGCCAUUAUGCCCUCAGUUCCUCACAGUUCUAUUGCAACUGUAAUAGUAUAAUUGAUUAAAGAAAAUGUUUACCAUUGGUUGAAGGAUGUCUGUUGUCAGCUAAUUUUGUAUCUAUAGAUUUUUAACUUUCCCUGGUCCCCCUCCGCAAGAAAAAGAGACCCCGGGGCAUGGGGUUCUGAAUCUUAGAAUUUCAGCCAAUGAACCAGAUUGACAUUAUGUUGCUUUGCUUCAAGGAAUUUUAUUUCUCGUCUUGCAGCUUUCUUUUCAAAUGUGGACCAGUCAAAUGCAGGAGACAUUGAAUUCUAAGAAGCAUGGAGAUACUGCUUUUCGAGCUAAGGAUUUUGCAACUGCCAUUGAAUGCUACACGCAAGUGAGUAUUCCCAUUUCACUUUGACCUAGCAAAUUUUGGGUUUUGCCUUAUAUUUUUUUCGAUAAUCUACAAGCAGCCAAACUUGGUGAUCCAGAAUAAUUGAUCAUCUAAAUUGCCAUUGCAACUGUGGAAAAAUAAGUUUGGAUAGAUGUGGAUUGCAAAUGAUAAAGUAUUUGAAUUUGAUAUCAUGUUGAAUUUAUGAUUUUUCACUUACGAACACAAAUUUAAAUCCUUAUUCAUUUCAAAUGCACAACUAUCC